RNAcentral lists this ribosomal RNA (429 nucleotides) under uncultured bacterium. RNAcentral's name for it is "bacterial SSU rRNA". It matches the Rfam family "Bacterial small subunit ribosomal RNA", at positions 355 to 775 of the family's 1533-position model. The record is from RNAcentral.
UGGGGAAUUGUUCGCAAUGGGCGCAAGCCUGACGACGCAACGCCGCGUGGAGGAUGAAGACCUUCGGGUCGUAAACUCCUUUCGAUCGAGACGAAUGGGCCCUGGGGGAAUAUCCCGGGGCAGUGACGGUACCGAGAGAAGAAGCCCCGGCUAACUCCGUGCCAGCAGCCGCGGUAAUACGGGGGGGGCAAGCGUUGUUCGGAAUUACUGGGCGUAAAGGGCUCGUAGGCGGCCAACUAAGUCAGGCGUGAAAUCCCUCGGCUUAACCGGGGAAUGGCGUCUGAUACUGGAUGGCUUGAGUUCGGGAGAGGGAUGCGGAAUUCCAGGUGUAGCGGUGAAAUGCGUAGAUAUCUGGAGGAACACCGGUGGCGAAGGCGGCAUCCUGGACCGAGACUGACGCUGAGGAGCGAAAGCCAGGGGAGCAAACGG